AAACUAACAAGGAUUCCCCUAGUAGCGGCGAGUGAAGCGGGAAGAGCUCAAAUUUGUAAUCUGGCGUCUUUCAGGCGUCCGAGUUGUAAUCUAUAGAAGUGUUUUCCGUGCUGGACCAUGUCCAAGUCCCUUGGAACAGGGUAUCAAAGAGGGUGACAAUCCCGUACUUGACAUGACCACCAGUGCUCUGUGAUACACUUUCUACGAGUCGAGUUGUUUGGGAAUGCAGCUCAAAAUGGGUGGUAAAUUCCAUCUAAAGCUAAAUAUUGGCGAGAGACCGAUAGCGAACAAGUACCGUGAGGGAAAGAUGAAAAGCACUUUGGAAAGAGAGUUAAACAGUACGUGAAAUUGUUGAAAGGGAAACGAUUGAAGUCAGUCGUGUUCAUUGGACUCAGCCGGUUUUCGGUGUAUUUCCUUUGAACGGGUCAACAUCAGUUUUGUCCGGUGGAUAAAGGCAGGAAGAAAGUGGCUCCCUCGGGAGUGUUAUAGCUUUCUGUCACAUACACUGGAGGAGACUGAGGACUGCAGCUCGCCUUUUGGCCGGGG
Molecule: ribosomal RNA, 546 nt
Filed under: Vanrija humicola
Lineage: Eukaryota; Fungi; Basidiomycota; Tremellomycetes; Trichosporonales; Trichosporonaceae
Description: LSU rRNA
Rfam family: Eukaryotic large subunit ribosomal RNA
Source: RNAcentral